GGAGUACUUGCGGUGGAUACCGGAGUGGUGCGACGCGCACCCGGAAUGCUGGGAGGAGAUCGUGCGCUACUGGAGAUCGGACAAGGCGUACGAGGUGAAAAACGAGCGUCGGCAGCGCCGGCUCAAGAACAAGGGGGUAGCACACCACCAAGGGAAUCGGUCCCUCCCGCAGUUCAUGGACGCCUGGAGGGACUCCCAUGAUGGGGAGGAGAUCAACGUGGUGGUGGGGUACGCCCUUUCUAAAAAGGGCAAGGCGAAGGACCCGAACAACAGGUUCGACCCGCAGGACGGGCCGGAGGCAUACACCAACGCCGGCGUCCACCCCAAGCUCGUCGAGUACAGCGCCGCGUUUCGCCAGCGCCAU
Long non-coding RNA from Sorghum bicolor (sorghum), 364 nucleotides. RefSeq lists it as uncharacterized. NCBI's taxonomy places the organism in Eukaryota, Viridiplantae, Streptophyta, Magnoliopsida, Poales, Poaceae. The transcript is spliced from 3 exons. The record is from RefSeq and is a predicted model, not a curated record.